AUGAAUUAGUAAAAAAAAAAUUAAAUAUAAUAAAAAAGAUCAAAGAUUUUCAUCAACAACAUCUAUCAAAAUCAAGAUGAAGGAUAGUAAUUCUUUAUUAUAAAAGAAAUACAAUUUAGAAAAGAUUAAAUUCUACUUUCUAUCCUUCUUUGUAAUUUUUGUAUAAUUGUGGUAUUAAAGAGAUAGAAAAUCAAUUUCCUUUAGAUUCAACUCAAGAAGCAUCAUUUGUUGACUUAUUGGAUCAGAUAUUAUGAUUAUCACAACUUUUAAGAUGACA
This 277-nucleotide long non-coding RNA is filed under the name Physcomitrium patens. Its description in RNAcentral is "long non-coding RNA (PPAT_LNC003806)". The record is from RNAcentral. Lineage: Eukaryota; Viridiplantae; Streptophyta; Bryopsida; Funariales; Funariaceae.